Molecule: ribosomal RNA, 600 nt
Filed under: uncultured bacterium
Lineage: Bacteria
Description: bacterial SSU rRNA
Rfam family: Bacterial small subunit ribosomal RNA
Source: RNAcentral
UGGAGCAAUCCAUGAGUACAGUGGCGACCGGGUGAGUAACACGUGACUAACCUACCUUUGAGUGGGGGAUAACAUCGGGAAACCGAUGCUAAUACCGCAUAACAUCGCAAGAUCAAAGCAGCAAUGCGCUUAAAGAGGGGGUCGCGGCUGAUUAGCUAGUUGGCGGGGUAACGGCCCACCAAGGCGAAGAUCGGUAUCCGGCCUGAGAGGGCGCACGGACACACUGGAACUGAAACACGGUCCAGACUCCUACGGGAGGCAGCAGUGGGGAAUUUUGCGCAAUGGGGGAAACCCUGACGCAGCAACGCCGCGUGGAGGAUGAAGUCCCUUGGGACGUAAACUCCUUUCGACCGGGACGAUUAUGACGGUACCGGUGGAAGAAGCCCCGGCUAACUUCGUGCCAGCAGCCGCGGUAAUACGAGGGGGGCAAGCGUUGUUCGGAAUUAUUGGGCGUAAAGGGCGCGUAGGCGGUGCGGUAAGUCACCUGUGAAAUCUCCGGGCUUAACUCGGAGCCUGCAGGCGAAACUGCCGUGCUGGAGUAUGGGAGAGGUGCGUGGAAUUCCCGGUGUAGCGGUGAAAUGCGUAGAUAUCGGGAGGAAC